CUUCUGUCUCCAUUCAUCCGAUGUGACCCUUUCUCCUGCCACGUAUCUACCAUGGUUUGUUUCUUCAACAGCAGUGACUUUCAUAAACUUGGCCUAAUUUCUCUGCUGUAACCUUUAUAAUGUUAUGUAUAACUCCUUCAUAUUCUCCUAGGUCUUAUAAGAACUCUCUUCUUCUGCAACUACUCUCCUGUAGACAUGGAUUUUUCUAGCUGUGGCUUUUUCUCCAAGUUUCAGUUCUAUUCUGAAAUGCAGAUGUUCAUGCACUCUAAACAGACGUUCUCAAUCCAUAAUAUUCCAUGCUAUUCCCAGACUAGAAAGCAGUCUCUAUCUCAGAAUGUUGAUAAAGACAGCAGUGUUGCCAGCGUAACCCUAAUAUUCUUUUGGUCUUCCUCUAUGCCCUCACCUCAUUGUUCCUCAUCCUUUAUAGAAAAAAAUGACUGUUGUAUAGGCUGUUCACUGUGUCUUUAAUGACACUCGAUAGCACAGGUCAAGGCUGAAAGGACAUGAAGCACAACCAAGUGUCUCAAUCUUCAUUCAGAUUUUAGCCUGUGUCAUAGCAGGAAGAAAUUUAAUACAAUGGGCUACCUAGCUCAGCUACAGGAUGUUGAUUCCAUGUGAAAUAUUGGAACCAUUCAAGAAGAAUGGCAGCGGAAGUUGAGUCCAGAAAGUGUUCAACGCAUGGAAGCAUCUCCAUGAGAAGCAACAGAACGCCAAGAAGGCCAUUAACAGCAGAUUACAUUAUAAGACACAAGAAAGACAGCUAGACAGCGAGUGAACAAACAGAGAAGGCAUAAAAAGCAAAAGCUUCUCCUUUUAUCUGGUUUGUGUGCCUUUCUUUUUCUUCCUUAUACAUUUUAUCUACUUAUUUGUUUUGUAGAAAGACUGUAAAAUAGUUGAACAUGACUGAACUGUGAAAGGACAGUAGAUGAAUAGAGAAUUGUGGAAUAACAGCACCUGCCUUAGAACAUUAUGCGUCUGCAUCCCUGAAGAUAUGCAUGCCUCUAUUUGGAAACUCAAUGAACAGAAAGCACAACAUUAUUUAAUAUUGUCUGUACCUUCGUCUGAUGUUGCAGCAUGGACCACUAGCACGUUUUUUGUUCUUGCUUCUGUCCUUAAAUGGCCCAAGUGAGUUAUCUUCUGAUACUGAGUGAUUACAUCUGAUUUACAUAAUCACAAUUUUGCACCUGAAACUCAUUUUCAUAAGCAAAAUCAGGAAGCUCUUAACUUGCCUUUUGCUUUGUUUCUUCA
RNAcentral lists this long non-coding RNA (1248 nucleotides) under Gallus gallus (chicken). RNAcentral's name for it is "lncRNA (ENSGALG00010026826.1)". Lineage: Eukaryota; Metazoa; Chordata; Aves; Galliformes; Phasianidae. The record is from RNAcentral.